RNAcentral lists this long non-coding RNA (3017 nucleotides) under Homo sapiens (human). Its description in RNAcentral is "HSALNT0117055". Lineage: Eukaryota; Metazoa; Chordata; Mammalia; Primates; Hominidae. The record is from RNAcentral.
ACCCUUGUGGAAGGACUUUUUCUACACUGGAAAUCUAGGAGUGGAAUAGCCGGGCCCCGGAGACACAGGAACACACUAGAAAUCUAGGAGUGGAAUAUUUGGGCCCCGGAGCCACAGGAAUGCGCUGGAAAUCUAGGAGUGGAAUAGCCGGGCCCCGGAGCCACAGGAACACACUGGAAAUCUAGGAGUGGAAUAGCUGGGCCCCGGAGCCACGGGAACGCACUGGAAAUCUAGGAGUGGAAUAGCUGGGCCCCGGAGCCACGGGAACGCACUGGAAAUCUAGGAGUGGAAUAUUUGGGCCCCGGAGCCACGGGAACGCACUGGAAAUCUAGGAGUGGAAUAUUUGGGCCCUGGAGCCACGGGAAUGCACUGGAAAUCUAGGAGUGGAAUAUUUGGGCCCCGGAGCCACGGGAACCCACUGGAAAUCUAGGAGUGGAAUAGCCAGGCCCUGGAGCCACGGGAACACACUGGAAAUCUAGGAGUGGAAUAGCCGGGCCCCGGAGCCACGGGAACGCUCUGGAAAUCUAGGAGUGGAAUAUUUGGGCCCCGGAGCCACGGGAACGCACUGGAAAUCUAGGAGUGGAAUAUUUGGGCCCCGGAGCCACGGGAACGCACUGGAAAUCUAGGAGUGGAAUAUUUGGGCCCCGGAGCCACGGGAACGCACUGGAAAUCUAGGAGUGGAAUAGCCGGGCCCCGGAGCCACGGGAACGCACUGGAAAUCUAGGAGUGGAAUAGCUGGGCCCCGGAGCCACGGGAACGCAAUGGAAAUCUAGGAGUGGAAUAGCUGGGCCCCGGAGCCACGGGAACGCACUGGAAAUCUAGGAGUGGAAUAGCUGGGCCCCGGAGCCACGGGAACGCACUGGAAAUCUAGGAGUGGAAUAGCUGGGCCCCGGAGCCACGGGAACGCACUGGAAAUCUAGGAGUGGAAUAGCUGGGCCCCGGAGCCACGGGAACGCACUGGAAAUCUAGGAGUGGAAUAGCUGGGCCCCGGAGCCACGGGAAUGCACUGGAAAUCUAGGAGUGGAAUAUUUGGGCCCCGGAGCCAUGGGAACACACUGGAAAUCUAGGAGUGGAAUAGCCGGGCCCUGGAGCCACGGGAAUGCACUGGAAAUCUAGGAGUGGAAUAGCCGGGCCCCGGAGCCACAGGAACGCACUGGAAAUCUAGGAGUGGAAUAUUUGGGCCCUGGAGCCACAGGAACGCACUGGAAAUCUAGGAGUGGAAUAUUUGGGUCCCGGAGACACAGGAACACACUGGAAAUCUAGGAGUGGAAUAGCUGGGCCCCGGAGCCACGGGAACGCACUGGAAAUCUAGGAGUGGAAUAUUUGGGCCCCGGAGCCACGGGAACGCACUGGAAAUCUAGGAGUGGAAUAGCCAGGCCCCGGAGCCACGGGAACGCACUUGAAAUCUAGGAGUGGAAUAGCUGGGCCCCGGAGCCACGGGAACCCACUGGAAAUCUAGGAGUGGAAUAGCUGGGCCCCGGAGCCACGGGAAUGCACUUGAAAUCUAGGAGUGGAAUAGCCGGGCCCUGGAGCCACAGAAAUGCACUUCUCCAACUUCAGACGCAGCCACGUUGUCUCCCAGUCGUUGCAGGAAUCCCACUCCCAUGAGUGUGGAACAGUUCCCUUAACCCUCUCCAGGUUUCUAUUUUGUUCAUAAACUUACUUAUUAGUCCAAAUUCUCCAGAAAAACAGAACCAAUGGGAGGUAGAGAGAUAUAAGAGCAGAUGGAUUAUGAACAUUGGCUCCUGUAACUAUAGAAGCUGAAGAGUCCCAUGAUCUGCUGUCUGCAAGCCGGAAAGAUUCUGGUGUUGCUGAGUCUGAAUCUGAGGCCUGAAGGCUGGUGAGCUGCUGGUGUUGACUGAGGAGUCCAAGACCAGAGAACCUAGAGCUCCAGUGUCCGAGGGCAGGAAAGGAUGGAUGUUCCAGCCCACGGAGAGAGAGGGAGGGAGGGAGGGAGAGAGAGAAUGUGUAUUUCUUUUCCCUGGUAAAGUUGAGUAUCCUGUACUCAGUUUACUGAUUCAAACAUUAAUUUCAUCCAAAAGGAUCCUCACAGAGACAUCCAUAAUAACAUCUGAGCAUCCCUCAGCCUAGUCAAGUCAACACGUAAGAUUAGCCAUCAUAAUUAUGUUGCUUUACAAGUACUGACAUAACGAAUUGUGAUAUCUUGUAGCAUAAUUUUCAUCAUCUUUUUUCUUCUUUCUUUUGUGCCUGUAUUUUUGUGACUACUUUAUGACCUUUGUUCUUUAUUAUAAGGCCUAGACAAUCUUGCCAUAUUUUGUAAAAAAAAUCCUGCUGAGAUUAUAAUGUGAAGGGCAUGAAAUCUAUAAAUUAUUUGCAGAGUUUUGAGAUCUUCACAAUAUUGAAUCUUUUUAUCCAUGAACAUGGUAAAUAUUUCCAUUUACUUAUGUUUUUAAUAUGCCUCAAAAAUUUGUAAUUUUCUCUAUUUGUAUCUCAUGAACAUUUUGUUAGUUACUUUCUAUUUUUGUGGGGUUUUUUUCUGUUACAUGUAAUGUUUCUAAGUCUUGAGUUAUUCUUUUUGAUGGUGCAAGGGAGUAUAAUGGAAUUUUAACUGUGAUUGAUAACUAUUUUAAUUUUUCCUAUUAACCUAUUUAGAAUAGUGCCUGCUCUAUAUUGAAUACUACAUAAAUGUUUGUUAAAAAAGUAAGGAAAGCUGCUCGUUCUCUAAGUUAACUCUCGGGUAGCUCGGGAAUGAUUACAACAUCCUCUCUUCCUAUCCUGCACUUUGUGUUCCCCGCUCAGUGCUAACAUGCACCUCCAGCAUAACACUGAAUAGAAGCUGGGGUCAUGAGCUUCCUUGGUUUCAUCUGAAGUCUUCUGGGGAAUGUUGCUUCCGUGUCACUCUGGGAUACAGCAAACAUACAGCAAAGUCUACACAAAUCUCUAGCUGAUAAAGAACAGUACAAGCAGCACCUGUGCCAAGACCCCCAGAAGGCGUCCCAUCUCACCUCACCUCUCCUGGUCACCAGGCGUCCCAUCUCACCUCUCCUCGUCACCAG